GNAGGGUGCAAGCGUUAAUCGGAAUNACUGGGCGUAAAGCGUGCGCAGGCGGUAAUGUAAGACAGUNGUGAAAUCCCCGGGCUCAACCUGGGAACUGCAUCUGUGACUGCAUUGCUGGAGUACGGCAGAGGGGGAUGGAAUUCCGCGUGUAGCAGUGAAAUGCGUAGAUAUGCGGAGGAACACCGAUGGCGAAGGCAAUCCCCUGGGCCUGUACUGACGCUCAUGCACGAAAGCGUGGGGAGCAAACAGGAUUAGAUACCCUGGUAGUCCACGCCCUAAACGAUGUCAACUGGUUGUUGGGAAUUCACUUUCCCAGUAACGAAGCUAACGCGUGAAGUUGACCGCCUGGGGAGU
Molecule: ribosomal RNA, 354 nt
Filed under: uncultured bacterium
Lineage: Bacteria
Description: bacterial SSU rRNA
Rfam family: Bacterial small subunit ribosomal RNA
Source: RNAcentral